Molecule: ribosomal RNA, 280 nt
Filed under: uncultured bacterium
Lineage: Bacteria
Description: partial 16S ribosomal RNA
Rfam family: Bacterial small subunit ribosomal RNA
Source: RNAcentral
UGCCAGCAGCCGCGGUAAUACGUAUGGUGCAAACGUUGUUCGGAAUUACUGGGCAUAAAGGGCGUGUAGGCGGUUCGGUAAGUCCGUAUGUGAAAUCCCUCGGCUUAACUGAGGAACUGCAUCGGAUACUGCCAGACUAGAGUGCAGGAGGGGAGAGCGGAAUUCCUGGUGGAGCGGUGAAAUGCGUAGAUAUCAGGAGGAACGCCGGUGGCGAAAGCGGCUCUCUGGCCUGCAACUGACGCUGAGGCGCGAAAGCUAGGGGAGCGAACAGGAUUAGAUA